Molecule: long non-coding RNA, 604 nt
Filed under: Mytilus galloprovincialis (Mediterranean mussel)
Lineage: Eukaryota; Metazoa; Mollusca; Bivalvia; Mytilida; Mytilidae
Source: RNAcentral
AGCCGCCGCCGGAUCACUAUCCCUAUGUCGAGCUUUCUGCAACAAAAGUUGCAGGCUCGACAAAAAAUGACAAUGUUACAGAAUAAACUAUAAAGAUAAUUGAUGCAUUUUGUCUGAAAGAUGAUUGUCUUAACCCUUUCCUCCAUGGAUUUUUUUUUAGCAUACUUGAUUUGCAUAGGUUUUUUUUCAUUAAAAAAAAAUCAUAAGGUUUAAAGUGUUAAUGCAUUGUGAAAACGAAUAUUUCAUCAAUGAAAUUGAAGUCAGAUAUUCUCAUGAAUCUCCUUUUUAUAUUGCAUACAAUUUUUUAAGUCUAAUGCAGACAUUUUGGAGUCAAAGCGUUUCAACUGAGGUACUACACAGGCGUCAUUAUGGAGGAAAGGGUUAAAUAAACUUUUAUUGUUAACAGCCCUUUUCACUUUUACAAUAUAAUGACUAGCAAUUGUUCUUUAAUAAUACAUUGUAUCAUAUUACAAGAGAAAAAGUGUGUUGUAUCAUAUUACAGUCGUGAAAUAUAUCAUACUUCAAUAUUCACUGUAUCGUAUUUCACCAAGCUAUUUUAAGAAAUUCUUACAAGAUAUAUAUCUCCUAGGAAAAUUUCUAUUGC